ACUGUGAAAAGAAAAAAAGUAGAUAAUAAGAACUUCAUGCUCCAGUGGGAUUUAACAUCAAACAACGGCUGAACACUAAGAGAGGAAAAAACGCUGCCUUCUUCCAAGCUGAACAAACAGUUCUGUCUCUGCUCUGCAGCUGAAGAGGACCAUUAAGAUUGUUUUAAUUAAGCUCUGUCACAAAGAGGGCUACUUGGGGCCUUUAUUCUACAGAUUAAGGUUUGAGAUUUCACACGCAUGGGCAGACUUGGUCUUCACAACUGGAGUUCAAAGCUAUAAAAGCCUACUUCUACGGAUCUCCUCCAGGACUGUGUGCUAUGACUUUUCUCAGCCAAAAUAUGGCUUGUACCCAAGUCAAGAGUAAAGAAAGAAAGAACAGUAAGCAUGCCAGGAUGCUAAGUCUAUCUUUGGUUGUCAGAAUGACCCACUGGGACUACUGUCACCUAGAUGGGAAAUGUAAAGCCCUUGCCUCACACCAAUGAGCUUAUCUCAGCUAAUCCAUCAAGUGUGUUCCAAAAGCUAUAAAGUCAUUCAUGCAUACUACAAGCCAAAGCAGACACAUGUAAAAGAGAAUGGCAGAAAAUCCUAGCAGAGUACCCACUACCACGUUGCCAAAUUAAGGAGAUCUCAAGCUAGAUCUGCUGUAAAAGCUAGGAAUUGUAAAACCAGCAAAUUCAGAGAUAAAGAAAUCCCUCUUGAAUAGAGUUAAUGUAGGCAUAAACAGACAACUAGAUAUAAGUUAGGACAGCCCUGAGUCAGAUAGCAAGCCACACCAACAAGGGUACAGACCCAAAAAGUGCAUGCUGCCACCCUACCCUUAUUUUACACACUGUUUCUCCAAGCAAGGACUGAAGAAUCCAGACUUUCUGUUUGCCUAACAGAAAACGGUAUCUUACAAAAUGCCUGACCAUUUGAGGCACUAAUUACAAAUAACUUUACAACUGACAGAAGCUGAAGAUACUCCAGACUGCCAUACACAAUGACUUCUCCUGUACCUGUGCAUAUAUUACGCACAGAAAGAAUGAGAGCAGCAUUCAGGAACAAAUACACAGUUUUGAAAUGGAGACGUAUCUAUUAAAAACUGGAAAGAUUCCACAACGUUCUAGAUAGCUUCUGCUUCAAAUCAAUUAGUCAUAGCUUCUUUAGUUUUCAGUGAAGUUAAUAACCUAAAUUUCACAAGAUGCCUUUAGAAUACUGUCAUAGACUAGCAGAAAGUAAAUAUCAACUGAACUUGUUAAUAGGAACUUACAGUUUCACUGCAAAUAACUGUAUAUUGGCACCAGAAAUGUAUCAUAUUUGAAAAGAAAAAAAAAGCUCAAGACAUUAAGUAUCUCGGGACAAAUGAAAAAGAAGAAAAACAAGUUUUUCAUCUCUUUAAAAAAGGGUACACUAAGUAUUUAGAUAUUAAAAAUACUGCCUACGGACCUAAAUAACACGAGUUUCUUUUUAAGCCUUAUAGAGAUUAAUGCAUCUCAUUAACUGCUCUGCUUGAAACCAUGACAAAGAUUUACAGCAUAAUAAAGAGACAGUGUAUUAGAUGAUAAACAAAGUAGUAAUUUUUGUAUAUCUGAUAAAUUCAGCCUGCAAAACUAAAUAAAUUCCGUAACUUAUUCUACCCACUCCAUGAAUCUGUUAUCUCAAUUCGGCUAGCAGUGAGAGUAGGCGUAAGAAAAACUAUAAAUUUUAGAGGUUAAACUGCAGCAUUCUCUGUAAGAGCUAACUAUAAAACUCUGAUCAGACUCUCACAGAACUAACACUUCUGAUGAGGCAAAUACCCUUUUCACAAAGUUUACACUACACUUCGAAAGUGGAGAUCAGACUGUUGUAUUUCUCUGCUAGAAUUCUCCCUCUGCAUACUUGAUUCUUCCCUCCUUAAAACUAGGCUACAGCAGCGUUCCUAGACAUGUGCUUAGGAUUGUAAAAUGAAUGCCAUAAAUGUGAAAGGUAAAAAGAAAUCAUACCUAUCACACUCUAAGCAGCUUGAAAGCUCUGUGCUUAAAAGGAUACUGUGAUUUGGAACGCAUGUGGUUGUCCUUUGCUCUGAAUUUCUGAUCUCUAAGUUUAUCAUAUGCCACAUUACAGUACACUUCGCCGAUUUAAGCUUCAAGUCAUUUCAUCAUUGAUGUAAAUAAGCCAAGGCAAACAAUUAAAUAUUACAUUAGCUUUUAAUUGACUGUAGCUCAUUGAACGAGGUAUCUCAAAAGCAUUGUCCAGCACUGAGAAUUCCUCCUAUGUCUGCUUUUCAAUUGUUUUUACAAAAACCCACUUCUGUUUAUUUUCCCCCCUUAUAAAUUCUUCUAGAUCAAUAGUGCAAACAGCAACCUCAUUUUCACUGAGAUUCCAGUGACCAUAGUUAAAAUAUUCAGUUAGUAUUAAUGCUACAAGCAAGUUCUUCCUUCCAUAAGCAUUUCUAGCAUUACCUUCCUAACAGCAGAAAUCCCCAACACAUCAUGAUUUAUGCAACUGGGGUGAGUUCUCAUCAAAUCCAAACUGAGUUUUGCCCUUGGUAGGAGGUUCACAAUUUUAAAUUUUUAGAUUUCAUAACACAAAUUUUAAUUUUCACAACUCUAUGAUUCUGCAGUCCUUCUACAUAUCCAAUAUUAGUAACACUGUUUUAUCAAAUAAAGGAAGAAUGACAAUGAGGAAAGAUGAUAAAGGAUUUGUUAAAGGUUUGAUAGCUAUAGCCUUGCUUAUAUCAAACAGAAUGUUACUCAGAAAAAUAAUAUUUGUAUCAGGUGAUCUACUUAAGAAACAUGAUACUGCUUGGCAAAGCUGCUAACGGCAGAAUUUGGCCAUUGUUAAAGCUUCCAAGUAAAGCCUAACAGUGAGACUUGAAUACAUCAGAAGAAUUUCAGAGAGGCUAGAAGCACAGUGUUACUCCAAAUCCAUCCACCUCUGAUCUAUAUAGGGUCUUCAUACAGCACCUCAUAGAUACUCCUGGUGGUGGGAUGAAGAGUACAGCAGCCUGUGCACGCUGAAACUGUGAAACUGCUGCUCCCAAUCUUAAGGUACUUCUGAGCCUGCUCAGAAGUCAAAUCAUGCAUUCCAGAGAGAGGUCCGACAGGCUUCUAGGUGGGCUUAGUGGAUUUUAUCUCAGAAUAUCACUAGCAUAGUCCACAAGAAGCGAAUGCUUUGCAUAAGCAAAAAACAAUUUUAUUCUAAUUCUCUCAGAUAUGCUACAGUUACUUUGUGUUCUUGAGUAAUAGCAGAAAAAGGUGCAACAACAACAAUCCCUCCUCCACUGCCCUCUGACGCCCUAACAAUGGACAGACGCUACAGCUGGGUAAAUUCAAUCAAAUACCAGGGACAUAUUUUCAAUAAUCACCAUGAUCAAGUGCUGAUACAACAACAGAAGACAAACAUCUUUUCCUCUAUUUAUUGACCUUUACAUGUCAAGACAGCAGGCCCUUCUUGUUUGUGUGCUUUGCUAUAUUCAGAAUGGCUGUUAAGCUCAGUAUUAGCAAAACUGGAUUGUAUUUUUAGUCUGCUUAACUCUUUAAGUCAGACUAGAUGAUCCACUGUUUUGCAACCACAAACUAUGAGAAAAAUGCACUUCUUGAUGUACUGAAUAUACAUUUCAAAAUGAGUUCUCCCCUCUUAAAAAAAUCUUUCAGUAGGAGAUACUUUAAGUAAAUAACUUGUAAAAAGAAAUUUCAAUUACUAAAGCUGUAAGUAUUGUUUGAUAAAGACUUUUACACCAUGCAUUUCCCCACUCUUCAAAAUUUCAGACUUGAAAAAUAUGCUGGAAUACCUUUCUAAAAGCACAUUUGAACUCUGAUAACAUAAACGUUAGAGCUACGUUUCAUUGAGUGUUUCAUUUUAAAUGACUUAUUUAAGUUGCUUUUAGCUUUCACUUUCAGAAAUACAUUAUGUAAGAAGACAAUACGGAAAAGAAUCAAAAAAUAAGAGAUUUUAUGAAAGCUUCCUAUAAAACAGGAACAGGAUACUUAGCCUUCCAUAGUGUAAAGGGCAGACAAAGACAAUGCAAAAUAUGUAUGUGAUCAUACAAAAAAUUUAAAUACCAAUAAAUAUAUAUUCUUCUAUAAUUCUGUAUUUCUACAUUAAUCCAAACCCAAAAGUAAAAAAAAAAAAAAACAAAACAAACAAAAAAACCACCCAACAUUAUUGAUCAGACUGAACUGUUUUCUUGCUCCCCACAAAUAUUCAAGCCCCAUCAGUGUUAAAAUAAAUUUCUGGUGGGAACUUCUCAGAAUACUUUUCCUUUUCCUUCUUUUUUUUUUUUUUUUUUUUUUUUUUUUUUUUUUUUUUUUUUUUUUUUUUUUUUGUCCAGUAUCAAAGAGACCUGCAUUCCAAGCACACUAAUCACUGGGUUCAGGCUGUGCUAUCAAUAUACUUGUGGAAAAACCUCUAAACAUAUGGGCUGAAAAGAUAGGACAGUUAGGAACCAGGCAUGUGUAGCAGCAGCUGUCUUACUUGGCAUAGCUUAUAUCAACUUUUCUGGCACAAAUUCCACAACCACAGACUUCUAAUGGCCACCAGUAUCAAUCAACAUGCUUGGACAAAUUCUGAACAUAGAAGUUUCACAUUUCAAUAAGUUUCACAUUUUAACAACUAUUUUAAGUCAAUAAGGCUGAUCUAAUGCACAGGAACAUGUUCACCGCGAGCUCAGUUGCAUGGCAGCUUGCCUUUUUUGCUGCCAGCUAAUAUACCAGGAAAAGAACAGUGGAAACUAAAGCCACUUUAAGGACAGUACACAUUUGGUUGUCCAGGGAGCAUGCCAGCUACAGUAUCAUGUUUAAUUCUUAAACACUAAUGACUGAUUCAUGGCAACAACCCCAAAGGGAAAUACUCACCUGCUAUUUUAGCUAUACGUGAUGCAUAUUUUUAGGGGCUUUUUUUUUUUAAACACUAUCUUCAGGAAUUCUGUUUUGCAACUCUAUGCUAUUAAUAAAUCGGAACAUUUCAAACUGAAAAUUUAUUCCCACUCCCCAGAUUUUUUGGAAGAGAAGAGUGGUGACAUGCUUCACUCGAGGCAAUGAUAGGCACAGAAUUGUGUGAAGAAUAAAGCUGUAAACUCCUUGAUCCAAUGACACUAUCAGUAUGGCUGAUAGUCAGUAACACUGAUGUUGCAUCUGAGGCUGGUGUUCUGUUCUCCAGUAAGAAAAAUUAUAUUGGUUUGAAAAUAUUCUCCAAAUCCUGUUGUGUACUUCAUUCAUGACCAGAUUUUCAAUAGCUCUAUUUUCAAUACUACUACCUGAGUACUACCCGUCAUCUCCACAGCAUGGUUUGUAAUAUCCCCCUUUUAUAAAGGGGAUAAAAAUUAUUUUUGGUGGAUUACCAGAGAAACAACAAAUGAUAUCGAGCACUGAGCUUAAUAUCUGGACACUUAAUACUUGGCUGCAUUAUUAGUAUAGUACUGAAAUCUAUAGUUCUUCAUAAACAAUGCUUAUAACAGUAGGGGGAAAAAAAAAACCCACCACAAGCACUCUAAUCUUAGGUAUGAAAUUAAUUUAAAUAGUUUUCAUUUUCAAUCUAAACACCAGGAGUUUCUAAAAACAGUGCAGAUACCAGCCAAGGGAGGUCUGAGUACCUUAACCACCUUGAAGGCUAUGAGACCACUAAUCAAGAAAAUGAAAGCAUAUGUGCCCCCACAGAUAUACCUUUGCUAAGUCUUUUAUAUCACUUAUAAGUGAUCUCAGUCAGAUGACAAAACGUAUUUAAGAAGGGUAAGAAAGAAAGUCUAGAGCUUUCUUGGUUGCAACCAUGUUCUAACAAGGUAAAAAAAACAUCAGCGGCUUUUUUCUAGUGCAGUUUGAAAACAGGUGAAAGAGCAAGUUAAUGAAAUUUAAUGCACCUAUUGAACAGAUGGAUAAAAACUAAAGCAGCAACAAAGGUGGAAUGUUUCCAUCACACUGUGUAUCAGAGAUUAAUAUUCCGUCUGUUAUUAGGACAGAGUUACAUAGUCAGACUCUAGCCUAAGUAAGACGGACUGAAACACUGCAGAAAAGCUUACUUCCUAAAAUGGAAAUUUCUUCACUACAGAGCACCCCUGCUACUGUUGUGACAAUUAUCUGUUAAUGUUAAAGCUGUGUAGUUGUCUUCCAAAAUGAACUCAUUCUGUGAAACUCAUGCUGGUGUGAAACACACAAGCUCAGGAGCAUUUCAUCUGUAAAGACAACAGACUAAAACAAUCAGGCAUUUGCUGGUGUUUAGAAAGACCCAAUACCUGAAAAGGUAUGGAAUAAUAAUAGUUAAUUAGGGAAAUCAAGGAAACAUCCUAGCAAUUCCAGACAGAAAAAACUUCAGGAGGAUUUUAUUAGACACACACACAGGUGUACAUUUUUUUUUCUUUACACCAACCUUGUUUUUUCUUGCCCAUUUCAAAGCAAAUUUUGGUAUAGCUGGAGGUUGGAAUGGAAGGUCUUUUUUCCAGAUGAUUCUGCACAACAGAUGAUCUGGAAUUCCUACCCCAAUCUGUAAACUAUAGAUAGCCCUGUAAUAAUGUUCCUAAUUGUGCUGCAUCUUUUGAAAGCAGCCUGUUGCCUUAUUCACUCUCAACUCCUUAAGCAGAAGUAAUGGAAAAAAAAUCUAACAAAAUGCUAACAUCUUUCUGCCAAAAGGAUGAGUGAUUUUCUACAUAAGCUCUGGUUGGUCUUACCAUUUAGAAAGGUAUUAUCACUUUGGCUUGUCUGGAUUUGAGACUAACAAAGUAUGCUAUACAGAAAAGAUUUAUCUUUCUAUCCCAAAUAAAUGCUUUUAAGUUUUUUCAGUAUCUCAGCAGUGGUAACUGAAUACUGAAUUGAAGAAAAAAAAAAUCUCUAAUUGGAUUAGAAAAAAAGAUAUCAGAUAACAGAAAUACAUCUUUCUUAUUUUAACCAACAGCUGCUGUUCAUCCUUCCUUGAUAAUUGAUUUAGUACUCCUUAAGUAAAUGACCUGAAAGUAUUGCUCUUCAGCAAAAACUGUAAAGGAAAGGUGCAGUACUGACACAUUUUAUCAGCAUUAAGAAAUGAGACAACUCUCAGGAAGAGUAAAUGCAUUCAGGCUGCUGGGCUGGGCAUUUGUGACCGACUAUGCUUUCUGUCAAAAGGAAUAGCAAGUUUUAGUCCCAGUUCCCACAUCCCAUUCCUAAAAUUUCUCUUAACCUUGUACUCAUAAGCCCUCUUCAUGAAAGUCCAAGCUUACAUCGUUAUCAGAAGAAAUUACAGAGAAAUUACUGUAUUUCUCCUCUUCUGCUCCAUUGUCCAUGCAGAAAAGGAUCCUAAGUAAAAUCAGUUAUGAUCCUAAGUCAAAUUCAUUAAUCACUGAUAGGCUAUGCUCAUCUCACUAAUAUUACAUUCACUGCAGAAUCUUAUGAGUAGAUAAGAGCAGGAUAAGAAAAGCUGAAGAAACAAGCAGAUAGACGUAUGCUUUAUUAAUGGUUGUUCUCCUAUUCAGCUGGUAUUUGCUUUGUUAGGUUAGUUUUACAGAAGCUUUUGCAGAAUUACUGUAUCACAGAUACUUACGUUUAAUGCUGCUCAGACUACUUCUGGGCACUGAACAGUCUACAGCUGCUAAAAAUAGGAAAAAAAAAUAGAUGCAAUUCAGUAUUAGUGUUUGUCAUGGCUAGAAAAAAAAAGCAAUAAAACAGGACAUACGCUAACUUAAUUAGAAUAAAGCAUAUUUUUCACUAUUUUAAAAUACAUUAAGAAAUGGAGAAGUGAUUGGAAAAUUAGUAUAACCACACCCACAACCCUGUUUCUGAAAAUAGCUUGAAAGAAAGUACACAAUGUUUUGGGAGAUAUUCAGAAAUCUUUUAUGGCAUAACUCAUUAUUGCAAAAUUCUCUGCACUGAAUUUAAACACUCAGUACAUUCUGCCAAGCCCUAGCAUUGAUAUCUCUUGGGCUUAAAUCCCCACAAGUUUAUGGAAUGGAAAAAAACAAAAAAAACAAAAAACAGUAUUAACAGCUAUCUACAGACAUUUCUUAGCCCUGUGCAUGAUAUUAACUUGAACAGCAAUUCACACUCCUUCAAAAUAAUAAUUUUAGCUAUAAUAGAUUGUUUUCCGUUGUAGCAUUAUCAAUGGGAUACUGCCUGCUCACACAGGAAUAACUACAUAUUUCUAAAUCUGAAAAAAAAUUUGGUCAGUAUCUCCACGUUAUUAAAAAACAUACAAACAAGUUCAACAGGCUCUUAUGUUCCAGAUUUCACAUUUGCCUUUUGACAAAUGUCAACUACUUCUACAAUUAAAAUCUGUGCAGAUAUUCAUAUACAUUUUUAGUGCUCAACAGUAGAGAUUAGUAACACAAUGUUCUCAUUUGCAAAUCCAACACAAUAUGCAAAGUCCUUAAAACUUGCUAAUGCAACCCAUUGCAACAUGAACAAAAGAUAAAGAUCAUUCUUUGGAAAAAGAAAAGUCAGUGGUCUUAGUUUAACUGAAAAUGUUCUGUAAUAAUUUCUAAAAUAAAUUUGGAAUGUUUGCUCUUGAGGUUAUUUCCAUAUGUUUAUCUCAAUAUCCUAUUUUAUUAGAGCACUACUGCUGAAUGAAGAAAAUACAGCACAAAGUAUCCUUAAAUCAAGUUGUAACUUUGGUAGCACUCAAGAGAAAAGGUUUUCAUAGAAAACUUUCAAUCCUAAUAGCACGCAAGUAUUACUACAUAAAAGCUGUAUCUUCUUGCUAACAUCACUCCAAGCAUGAAACAGGAAAAAAAUUAGGCUUCUGACAACCCAAUUCAUUCCCUUUUGAUAUGAGCCUAUUCUGAAAAGUGAGCUAAAUCUGGAAGUGGAAAUAUUUUAUAUAUGCAAUUUUUACCUUUGGCUGAAAGAAUUCUGUUAUAAUGAAACAUCAAGUGAUCUCUGAUCAGGUACUGCUUAGUCAGACUUCGGGAGGAGUCAAUGCAGAAAGCUAUUAAGAUUAAAAUUAACAUUAUAAAUGCAGGUAAAAGAAUACUCAAAUUUUGAAGUUAUUAACUGCAAUUCAAAUCUAAAAGCCAGUGUGUCCAAUUAUAGCUGGACAGAUGACCAGUAGAAAAUAAAAGCCAAAAGAACAUGAAGGUGGUUUUGCUCUUAACUUUUAUCCCGUAUCAAAUACUGAGAUGAAACUCUGCAUUCCUAGGAGCCAGUUCCAACAUGGUGCUUCUGAAAGACUUCCACUUAAGCUUUCAUGGAAUCAUAGAAUGGGUUGGGGUUCGAAGGGACCUUAAAGAUCAUCUAGUUCCAGUUCCUGUGCAAUGGACAGGGUUGCCAGCCACUAAAUUAGACACUAAAUCAGGCUGCCCAGGCAUCCAUCAAGCGUGGCCUUGACACCUUCAGAGAAGAAGCAUCCACAACUUCUCUGAGCAGUAGGUCAUUUUUUCCUGCUCCCACUGCAGCACCAGUUUACAUCUAGCAAUGUUUAUGGAACACUUAGCGUUUGCAGAAGGCAGAAGCUACAAACUCAAAAUUACGGCAUGCUUCUCUGUUCAGUGGAAGUCAGUUUGCCUAACCUGCCAGUAUAACAUGAAACAAUCUUCGUUGUUUUUUCCCCCCCCAGUGAGCCAUCAGCUCGAUAAAUAGUUACUGACGUAGCUGAAGUUGAAAAAUGUCAGCAUGGAAAUUUCCUUUUUAACCAUUCUAUGCUCUUUCAAAAAAAGAGUCUGUGGUGGCACAGAAUCAUAUCCUAUCCCAUCCCAGCAACUGCAUGCAAAGGAACAGGUUUAACUUUAACAGUUCCUCCAAGUAGUAAUUCUACAUAUUCCAGCUAAUGCAGAUAUGUUGCUAAUUAUUUCUAGCUAGCAUAACAGUCCAGGCAAAAUAUUUUCAAUAAUGUAUAGUAAUUGUGAGUACUAUUAAAUUUCACCAAUAGAGCUUAAUGCAAAGGUUCAUGGAAUCACAGAAUAUCCUGAGUUGGAAGGGAUCCAUACGGAUCAUCAAGUCCAACUUCUGGAUCACGAACGCAAUUAAUUCACAUAGAGAAACCCGGCCACCCUUUUAAUGAAAGCAAGUGUGUUACUUACCAUUACUUUUAGUACUUAGCUGUCCUUUAAAUGGACUUGCUGGACCACAUCUGGGAAUGACCACAGCUGGGUAUUCAUUCACUUUAACAAAAUGUCAAACAGUUAGAAAGGAGAAAAUGCAUAUUCUGACAGACAAGCAAAAUAACUAAAAAUAUAUUUCCCCAAAGAAUUAUUCGGUUAUUGCAGCACACUUUUUUCCCAGAUGAAAAGUCUUCAUUACACUAAAAUAAAACAGCAUAAUUAAGUAAUUUAAUCAAGAUGCCAAAAUAUGAUUGUAAAACUUCUACUGGUUCAGGGGCUUAAGCAGCAGAAGAGACCCUUAGAUCACUUCAACCUGAACUUUUACAUUGAGCAUUAGACUGCACAGAGAUGCAGCCAAAGCUCUGAAUCUAUGAUAAACUCUAAUUUAAGUGUUUAUUGAUUGAAUUUUAUCAUUACAUCAAACAACUAACGUGAAAAAUAUUCUGUAUGGAGAUAAGAAUUGUGUUUAGUAUAAUACUCAUGAGUUUAAUAGAUUUAAAGAAACUAAUUACAAUUGUGUGACGAACCACCCUACUAAUGAGAACACACUCUUUCAAAUAUCUAUUACUGUUAAUGCAAGAAGAAUUUGGUUUGCCAUUCCAUCUUCUGGUAAUUUAUAGACUGGAAACCCUCUAAACAAGUGUAGAUACCGACAAAACAUAAGCAUCCAAUUGCUCUGAAAUAUGAAAACAUGAACUAAAAUCUCUGCAUCUUCUCCUUGGGAGGGGGAAAUAAAAUUAGCAAAGUCAGGCUCACAACCACUGCCUGUAAGUGGUGGUCACUGCCUAUGAUUUAAAAAAAACCAAAAACAUCCAAUUUAAUUUAGAAUUUGUAGCAUUUUUAGAACAAAUUUUAACAAGAGGUAGGUACACUUGUUUCAAAUACUAGUGCAUACAAAGCAUUCUUUCAUGGUUUCCAAGACCCCGCUCAGAGUACAAGUUAAAACAAAUGAGAGGAGUGGGAAUCUUUCUGACCUGGCCUUCAGCUGGAUCAGCAGAGGCUGAUCUGUACAGAAUGACUGCACGGUGCAAGAAAUAACGCUGAAGGACACAGCCAGACUUAAGCCACAUUUUUAAGAGCCCCUUAAUUCCACUUUUUAUGGCUUUUUGCCCUCUUUUUACUUCUGCCCAGCACCUUGCUUUCCAUCUUCUCCAUUCUCCUUUCCUGAUGUUAUAUGACAGUUAUGAGUAUAUAACAGUACUGUUACAGCUAUGAAUGUCACUACUGUGUUUCAUAGCUCAACUAUAAGUGUAUGAGCAUGCUGCAUAAGAUGCUGUCCAACUAUUACUUGGCAGAGAUCACAUCAAAAUAAAUUAUUCUCUUAAUAAUGUUUUAAUAUCAUUUCCUCAAAGACAUUAUAAAGAGACAUGUUGUACUAAAUUUCAAGUGACUAGGAUUAGUUUAGGAAGCAAAACCAAGUAUCCUGAAAAAAUAAAUAAAAUGAAAAUUAUUAGCGUAUGUGGAAAUUGACCUAAUAUUUUCUUGGGACCUUGUUGUGUCUGUAUCAACAUGCUCAAUUCCCACAGUUGCAAAGCACAACUCAUCUCAGUUUUGAACUAACAUGAGGGUUCCACACUCGGAACAGCCUGCCUUUACACAGCUCCAGCUCGGACAUGGUGUCUUCAGGCACAGCGCUCCCACCCCUUCUGAUGGGAGGUGCCAGAAAGGGAGAACAAAAGAAAAAGUCCUACCACAGAUUUUUUCAGCGCUAGCCUGAAACUGUUCUUAAGAUAUGACAUCUUCUUUAAAGCCAAACGGAAACAUUCAUGCUCUUCUGCACCCAUUUCAACUGGCUCUUUUAAAAAUCCCCUUGGGGUACAAUUCCCCCUAGUCUCUAUUUAUGAUUUAAACAUACAUGGGCAAACAAGACUAUUAAGGUAUUAAAAUUCCAAGCAUAUAGCAAGAAUUCAUUAGAUUUAGAAUGACUGCCUCUGUAAUGAUUGCAAACCCUGGUCAAAUGGCUUGCUCACUUAUUUAAGUACUAUGUUUCUCUAGCAGAGUAACACCAAAGUGGUACUCGCAGCCUGGCUGCAUAACUGUCCUGAAAAUCAUGACUUCCUGAAGUUACAGUGCUCAUAUUUUUAAAGAAUGAAAGUCCUUCAAAAGACUUGAGUGUUAGAUUAUAACAUUUUGGUAAAUAAAAUUCUAUCCUAAUGAUUAAAAAAAGUGUGUCAGCUGUAAGUCAGAAACGUAAUCUUAGCAGGCAUAUGAAAACCUAAAGGUUUUCACUCACAGUUGCUCAAAAUAACCGAGAAUUUCCUGUAUUUUCCAUAUUUCAGUGCCAAGUUAUAAUUCUAGAAGACACGUGAUACCAUUAGAUUAGUUAGAGGUGGCCUUAUAACCGUUAAUUUCUAUGUAUAAGAAAUGUAGAGAGGUAAGCAAUGGCAUCUUAAAAAUGCAUGGGGACAUUCUCAUAACUGGAGAUGGUUCAUUUCAGAUAAGCUGAAUGUCUCUGCCCUGAGUUAAAGAGAAUCAGAUCCACACAGAAACUUGUUGCUUGCUCUGUCUGCAUGUGGAAGUAACUGUUCAGCACUUGAGGAAAAUGCGAUGCUGAAAUGCUCACUUACUGUGCAUCACCAGCAGAUGGCCACACGGAUAAGCUGUAUGGAAAGAACUAUCGCAUCGGCUCCUUCUGCCCUGUGCAAUUCAUGUGUAUCAGAGUCGGGGGGAAAAAAAAUAAAAAAUUCUCUCCUAUCCCAA
Molecule: long non-coding RNA, 12655 nt
Organism: Gallus gallus (chicken)
Lineage: Eukaryota; Metazoa; Chordata; Aves; Galliformes; Phasianidae
Exons: 3
Source: RefSeq, a predicted model, not a curated record